UAAUCAUCGGGCGAAGAAGCCGGAAAAUCCGAACCGCAUCGUCCUCGGUGACAUAUGGUAAGUCUGUCUAUCUAUCCUACUCUAUAUACAAUUCCACAAAUGUUUGUGUGGCUGCUAUCUGUUUCCACAGGAUCAUCGCCACCAAAGCCAAAGCUGGACGGGAUCAUCGACGACCAUGCAUGCAACCAAAGCCAAAGCUGGAUCGUUGCAGCAAGAAGAAGAUGAUGAGCAGGCAGACUUCCUGGACCUUAUAUAUCCUCGCUCGUCAACACGAGUACAGUCUCACCAGGCAGCACCUCAAGGCCAUUCUCGUCGUACGUACGCAUGCAAUCACGUGACUCAAUUCCAAGAGGGUGGAGAAAAUUUCGUUCCACU
Molecule: long non-coding RNA, 375 nt
Filed under: Hordeum vulgare
Lineage: Eukaryota; Viridiplantae; Streptophyta; Magnoliopsida; Poales; Poaceae
Description: long non-coding RNA (HVUL_LNC014628)
Source: RNAcentral